CUGAAGGUGUACACGUAUUGGGACACCCCUCCACCAGCCUAAUCUUAUUCCUUUUCUCCUCUCUUUCUCUCUCAGCCAAGAAACAACCUAGUGGGCUGUUGGAGCUGAAUUCUUGAUGUUGGCAGCUUGGGGAUUUGUAGGCUGAGGUUGUGAGACCUGAUUCAAGCAGGGAGUUAAUUGGAGAAGCUUCAAAAAUUAAAGACUUGAGAGCUGAUUAGGACUGGCAGACUUGGUGUCUUCGGCUUGGUGGAGUGGCCGAGCUGAGAGAGGAUGCUAUUGGAGUUGAAGUAACCUGGCGUAACACUUAAUUAAGAUUUGUGAGCUGAAAUCAAGUUGAUAGAUGUUCUUGGUACUGCCGAAAUGCAGGGAUGGCCUAUUUGAUGCAGUGAGCAAGUUAAUUUAGCAUCAAACUAUAAUUUGGGGCUACCAAGUGGAGUUGAUACCUUGAGUGGGUUCUUGAUGCUUCAAGCUGAAAUUAAUUAGAAGAAGUAUCUAAUUAAGGAUUAGAGCUUGGUAAACUAGUUGUAGAACGCAGCGGAAGUUUUCGGUUCGUACCUUUUUGCGGAAGCGAUUCAGAUUACAACUCGAUGAGCCCGGAUCGUCGAGGUUCCAGUGCGAGCGUUGUGGCCGAGGAUCGCGGCAAGAGCCCUGCAGCCUAGCUAGCAGACACCAGUGUUUAGUGGUAUCCCAUUUUGAGUUCAUGUGAGACAUUUUGAUGUACAGAGACAUGUAAAU
Ananas comosus (pineapple) is the source of this 735-nucleotide long non-coding RNA. RefSeq lists it as uncharacterized. The transcript has 6 exons. Lineage: Eukaryota; Viridiplantae; Streptophyta; Magnoliopsida; Poales; Bromeliaceae. The record is from RefSeq and is a predicted model, not a curated record.